RNAcentral lists this ribosomal RNA (422 nucleotides) under uncultured bacterium. RNAcentral describes it as "partial 16S ribosomal RNA". It matches the Rfam family "Bacterial small subunit ribosomal RNA", at positions 355 to 774 of the family's 1533-position model. The record is from RNAcentral.
UGGGGAAUAUUGCACAAUGGGCGAAAGCCUGAUCCAGCAAUUCCGCGUGUGUGAAGAAGGCCUUCGGGUUGUAAAGCACUUUAGUGGGGGAAGAAACAGCUUGGCCACACCAAGCCUUGACGGUACCCCAAGAAUAAGCACCGGCUAACUCUGUGCCAGCAGCCGCGGUAAUACAGAGGGUGCAAGCGUUAAUCGGAUUUACUGGGCGUAAAGGGUGCGUAGGUGGUUUUUUAAGUCGGAUGUGAAAGCCUGGGGCUCAACCUCAGAAUUGCAUUCGAUACUGGGAAACUAGAGUUCGGUAGAGGGCGGCGGAAUUUCCGGUGUAGCGGUGAAAUGCGUAGAUAUCGGAAGGAACAUCAAUGGCGAAGGCAGCCGCCUGGGCCUGGACUGACACUGAGGCACGAAAGCGUGGGUAGCAAACA